UAUCUUCAGCUCCAGAUCUGACCACAUCACCUCAAUCAGACACAAAGAUGCUCACAGAGAGACAAGAUGUUGCCAAGACUACAGCAGAUCUCAUGACCACAGACACCCUCCUGACUUAUCACAGCACCAACAGCAUCAGAGCAAAGGACGUAGGCAGCAUGCUGUCUGAGUCACAGGCGUGUGUUCUGUUCUUCGUAGUGGCUCUGGUCACUGCAGCCGGAUUCUUCAUUUAUGG
This is a long non-coding RNA of Cyprinodon variegatus (sheepshead minnow), 235 nucleotides long. RefSeq lists it as uncharacterized. Lineage: Eukaryota; Metazoa; Chordata; Actinopteri; Cyprinodontiformes; Cyprinodontidae. The record is from RefSeq and is a predicted model, not a curated record. The transcript has 3 exons.